Molecule: ribosomal RNA, 501 nt
Filed under: uncultured bacterium
Lineage: Bacteria
Description: partial 16S ribosomal RNA
Rfam family: Bacterial small subunit ribosomal RNA
Source: RNAcentral
AUUGAACGCUGGCGGCAUGCCUUACACAUGCAAGUCGAACGGCAGCACGGGUGCUUGCACCUGGUGGCGAGUGGCGAACGGGUGAGUAAUACAUCGGAACGUACCUUAUCGUGGGGGAUAACGCAGCGAAAGCUGUGCUAAUACCGCAUACGCCCUGAGGGGGAAAGCGGGGGAUCGCAAGACCUCGCGCGAUUAGAGCGGCCGAUGCCUGAUUAGCUAGUUGGUGGGGUAAAAGCCCACCAAGGCGACGAUCAGUAGCUGGUCUGAGAGGACGAUCAGCCACACUGGGACUGAGACACGGCCCAGACUCCUACGGGAGGAAGCGGUGGGGAAUUUUGGACAAUGGGGGCAACCCUGAUCCAGCAAUGCCGCGUGAGUGAAGAAGGCCUUCGGGUUGUAAAGCUCUUUUGUCAGGGAAGAAACACCGGCUCUAACACAGUCCGGGAAUGACGGUACCUGAAGAAUAAGCACCGGCUAACUACGUGCCAGCAGCCGCGGUAA